RNAcentral lists this ribosomal RNA (316 nucleotides) under uncultured eukaryote. Its description in RNAcentral is "partial 18S ribosomal RNA". It matches the Rfam family "Eukaryotic small subunit ribosomal RNA", at positions 1470 to 1796 of the family's 1831-position model. The record is from RNAcentral.
CCCUUAGAUGUCCUGGGCCGCACGCGCGCUACACUGACUAGUGCAACAAGUGUUAAUCUUGGUCGAAAGGCCUGGAGACUCUUUGAACGCUAGUCGUGAUGGGGAUAGAUUCUUGGAAUUUUUAAUCUUGAACGAGGAAUCCCUAGUAAACGCAAGUCAUCAACUUGCAUUGAUUACGUCCCUGCCCUUUGUACACACCGCCCGUCGCACCUACCGAUUGAAUGGUCCGGUGAAGUCUCUGGACUGGCCUCCACCUUGUGUGAGGGCUGGGAAGUUGACUAAACCUUNCNAUUUAGNGGAAGGUGAANUCGUANCA